GACGAACGCUGGCGGCGUGCUUAACACAUGCAAGUCGAACGGAAAGGCCCCUUUGGGGGUACUCGAGUGGCGAACGGGGGAGUAACACGUGAGUAACCUGCCCUUGACUUCGGGAUAACUUCAGGAAACUGGGGCUAAUACCGGAUAGGAAUCCUUGCUGCAUGGUGGGGGUUGGAAAGCUUCGGCGGUUUUGGAUGGACUCGCGGCUUAUCAGCUUGUUGGUGGGGUAGUGGCUUACCAAGGCUUUGACGGGUAGCCGGCCUGAGUGGGCGACCGGCCACAUUGGGACUGAGGUACGGCCCAGACUCGUACGGGAGGCAGCAGGGGGGAAUAUUGCACAAGGGGCGGAAGCCUGAUGCAGCAACGCCGCGUGCGGGAUGACGGCCUUAGGGUUGUAAACCGCUUUCAGCAGGGGCGGAGCUUGUGGUGACGGUACCUGCAGAAGAAGCACCGGCUAACUACGUG
Molecule: ribosomal RNA, 465 nt
Filed under: uncultured bacterium
Lineage: Bacteria
Description: partial 16S ribosomal RNA
Rfam family: Bacterial small subunit ribosomal RNA
Source: RNAcentral